GCUGGGCAUGGUGGUGGGUGCCUGUAAUCCCAGCUACUUGGGAGGCUGAGACAGGAGAAUCACUUGAACCCAGGAGGUGGAGGUUGCAGUGAGCCGAGAUCGUGCCAUUGCACUCUAGCCUGGGUGACAGAGCGAGACUCUGUCUCAA
Molecule: small RNA, 148 nt
Filed under: Macaca nemestrina (pig-tailed macaque)
Lineage: Eukaryota; Metazoa; Chordata; Mammalia; Primates; Cercopithecidae
Also listed under: 2 other names
Description: Metazoan signal recognition particle RNA
Source: Rfam by way of RNAcentral